CCUACGGGAGACAGCAGUGAGGAAUAUUGGUCAAUGGGCGGGAGCCUGAACCAGCCAAGUCGCGUGAGGGAAGACGGUCCUACGGAUUGUAAACCUCUUUUGCCGGGGAGCAACGCGGUCCUUGCGAGGGCCCACUGAGAGUACCCGGAGAUAAAGCCUCGGCUACCUCCGUGCCAGCAGCCGCGGUAAUACGGAGGAUGCGAGCGUUAUCCGGAUUUAUUGGGUGUAAAGGGAGCGCAGGCGGCGCGUUAAGCCUGGUGUGAAAGCCCGCGGCCCAACCGCGGGACUGCAUUGGAAACUGGCGCGCUGGAGUGCAGGAGGGGUAGGCGGAAUUCCUAGUGUAGCGGUGAAAUGCGUAGAUAGUAGGAGGAACACCAGUGGCGAAGGCGGCCUACUGGACGGUGACUGACGCUGAGGCUCGAAAGCGUGGGGAGCAAACAGGAUUAGAUACCCUGGUAGUC
Molecule: ribosomal RNA, 461 nt
Filed under: uncultured bacterium
Lineage: Bacteria
Description: partial 16S ribosomal RNA
Rfam family: Bacterial small subunit ribosomal RNA
Source: RNAcentral